UACGUAGGGUCCGAGCGUUGUCCGGAAUUAUUGGGCGUAAAGAGCUCGUAGGCGGUUUGUCGCGUCUGCUGUGAAAUCCCGAGGCUCAACCUCGGGCCUGCAGUGGGUACGGGCAGACUUGAGUGGUGUAGGGGAGACUGGAAUUCCUGGUGUAGCGGUGGAAUGCGCAGAUAUCAGGAUGAACACCGAUGGCGAAGGCAGGUCUCUGGGCACUUACUGACGCUGAGGAGCGAAAGCGUGGGGAGCGAACAGG
This 253-nucleotide ribosomal RNA is filed under the name uncultured bacterium. RNAcentral's name for it is "partial 16S ribosomal RNA". It matches the Rfam family "Bacterial small subunit ribosomal RNA", at positions 524 to 776 of the family's 1533-position model. The record is from RNAcentral.